UACGUAGGGGGCGAGCGUUAUCCGGAUUUACUGGGUGUAAAGGGAGCGUAGACGGCGUCGCAAGUCUGAAGUGAAAGCCCGUGGCUCAACCCCGGGACUGCAUUGGAAACUAUGUAACUAGAGUACCGGAGAGGUAAGCGGAAUUCCUAGUGUAGCGGUGAAAUGCGUAGAUAUUAGGAGGAACACCAGUGGCGAAGGCGGCUUACUGGACGGAAACUGACGUUGAGGCUCGAAAGCGUGGGGAGCAAACAGG
RNAcentral lists this ribosomal RNA (253 nucleotides) under uncultured Dorea sp. RNAcentral's name for it is "partial 16S ribosomal RNA". It matches the Rfam family "Bacterial small subunit ribosomal RNA", at positions 524 to 776 of the family's 1533-position model. The record is from RNAcentral. Lineage: Bacteria; Bacillati; Bacillota; Clostridia; Lachnospirales; Lachnospiraceae.